UACGUAGGGGGCAAGCGUUGUCCGGAUUUAUUGGGCGUAAAGAGCGUGUAGGCGGUUUGGUAGGUCCGCUGUGAAAACUCGAGGCUCAACCUCGAGACGCCGGUGGAAACCAUCAGACUAGAGUCCGGAAGAGGAGAGUGGAAUUCCUGGUGUAGCGGUGAAAUGCGCAGAUAUCAGGAGGAACACCAAUGGCGAAGGCAGCUCGCUGGGACGUGACUGACGCUGAGACGCGAAAGCGUGGGGAGCGAUCCGG
Molecule: ribosomal RNA, 253 nt
Filed under: uncultured bacterium
Lineage: Bacteria
Description: partial 16S ribosomal RNA
Rfam family: Bacterial small subunit ribosomal RNA
Source: RNAcentral